UGGGGAAUCUUGGACAAUGGGCGCAAGCCUGAUCCAGCCAUGCCGCGUGGAUGAUGAAGGCCUUAGGGUUGUAAAAUCCUUUCGUGGGGGACGAUAAUGACGGUACCCCAAGAAGAAGCUCCGGCUAACUUCGUGCCAGCAGCCGCGGUAAUACGAAGGGGGCUAGCGUUGUUCGGAUUUACUGGGCGUAAAGCGCGUGUAGGCGGGUCGUUAAGUUGGGGGUGAAAUCCCGAGGCUCAACCUCGGAACUGCCUUCAAAACUGGCGACCUGGACUCAAGCAGAGGCAAGUGGAAUUGCGAGUGUAGAGGUGAAAUUCGUAGAUAUUCGCAGGAACACCAGUGGCGAAGGCGACUUGCUGGGCUUGUAGUGACGCUGAGACGCGAAAGCGUGGGGAGCAAACAGGAUUAGAUACCCGUGUAGUCCCUGAGCGGGCUGGCAAGGCG
This 444-nucleotide ribosomal RNA is filed under the name uncultured bacterium. Its description in RNAcentral is "bacterial SSU rRNA". It matches the Rfam family "Bacterial small subunit ribosomal RNA", at positions 355 to 822 of the family's 1533-position model. The record is from RNAcentral.